RNAcentral lists this transfer RNA (70 nucleotides) under Charadrius vociferus (killdeer). Its description in RNAcentral is "tRNA-Phe". It matches the Rfam family "tRNA". From Rfam's summary of the family: Transfer RNA (tRNA) molecules are approximately 80 nucleotides in length. Lineage: Eukaryota; Metazoa; Chordata; Aves; Charadriiformes; Charadriidae. The record is from RNAcentral.
GUCCUCGUAGCUUAAUAACAAAGCAUGGCACUGAAGAUGCCAAGAUGGUCACCACACAUACCCGAGGACA